This 329-nucleotide unclassified non-coding RNA is filed under the name plant metagenome. RNAcentral's name for it is "partial contains 5.8S ribosomal RNA, internal transcribed spacer 2, and large subunit ribosomal RNA". The stretch from base 1 to 105 matches the Rfam family "5.8S ribosomal RNA", at positions 50 to 154 of the family's 154-position model. The record is from RNAcentral.
GAAAUGCGAUAAGUAAUGUGAAUUGCAGAAUUCCAUGAAUCAUCGAAUCUUUGAACGCACAUUGCGCCCUCUGGUAUUCCGGGGGGCAUGCCUGUCCGAGCGUCAUUGCGAACCCCUCAAGCACGGCUUGUGUGAUGGGCCCUCCCGCGUCUUGGUCGUCAAGACGGGCCCGAAAAGCAGUGGCGGCUUCGCGGUUAUCCGAUCAGCCAGAGCGUAUGGGGACUUUCUCUCUGUCACACGCCCGCGGCGCGGACCGAUGCCUGUCGACCUUUAUUCAUCUUUUUCUCGGUUGACCUCGGAUCAGGUAGGGAUACCCGCUGAACUUAAGC